UCUCCAUUAUGGUGUGAAGUGUCUAUGAACAACAUGGAGACAUACACAGCCGAGUGCGCAGGAUGAAAUUCCGCGUCGGCUCGGUGCUCUUCCCCUCCUUAGCCGCCUUCCCUAUUCUGACAAUAAAUGUGAGCUCUUCUUUUUCUUCGCCCUCCCUACUUUUUCCUUUGCUACUUCCACAACGACGUCUGAAAAGACGAAGACGUCGAUGUCAUCCUUCGAAGAAAACGAACGGAACGAAGCAAUGGAGAGAAGCGGCGUAGAAGAAGAAGAAGUAUAGACAUUUUUUAAUGAAAAACAAGAUUUCAGCAUAGCCCGGGGCGCCAAAAAACGAAGAACGAAA
Molecule: non-coding RNA, 343 nt
Organism: Caenorhabditis elegans
Lineage: Eukaryota; Metazoa; Nematoda; Chromadorea; Rhabditida; Rhabditidae
Source: Ensembl